RNAcentral lists this ribosomal RNA (253 nucleotides) under uncultured bacterium. Its description in RNAcentral is "partial 16S ribosomal RNA". It matches the Rfam family "Bacterial small subunit ribosomal RNA", at positions 524 to 776 of the family's 1533-position model. The record is from RNAcentral.
UACGAAGGGGGCAAGCGUUGUUCGGAUUUACUGGGCGUAAAGGGCGCGUAGGCGGAUUCGUAAGUCAGAGGUGAAAGCCCUGGGCUCAACCCGGGAAUGGCCAUUGAGACUGCAAGUCUUGAGUGCGAGAGAGGGUGGCGGAAUACCCAGUGUAGAGGUGAAAUUCGUAGAUAUUGGGUAGAACACCGGUGGCGAAGGCGGCCACCUGGCUCGCAACUGACGCUGAGGCGCGAAAGCGUGGGGAGCAAACAGG